This 274-nucleotide ribosomal RNA is filed under the name uncultured bacterium. Its description in RNAcentral is "partial 16S ribosomal RNA". It matches the Rfam family "Archaeal small subunit ribosomal RNA", at positions 473 to 747 of the family's 1478-position model. The record is from RNAcentral.
AAACCAGCACCUCAAGUGGUCAGGAGGUUUAUUGGGCCUAAAGCAUCCGUAGCCUGAUCUAUAAGUUUCCGGUUAAAUCCAAAUGCUCAACAUUUGGGCUGCCGGAAAAACUGUAGAUCUAGGGAGUGGGAGAGGUAGACGGUACUCGGUAGGAAGGGGUAAAAUCCUUUGAUCUAUUGAUGACCACCAGUGGCGAAGGCGGUCUACCAGAACACGUUCGACGGUGAGGGAUGAAAGCUGGGGGAGCAAACCGGAUUAGAAACCCUAGUAGUCC